UGGUCUGCAUCGAUGAGACGCAGCGACUGCGAUAAGUAAUGUGAAUUGCAGAAUUCAGUGAAUCAUCGAAUCUUUGAACGCACAUUGCGCCCGCCGGUAUUCGGCGGCAUGCCUUCGUUCGAGCGUCAUUUCCACCCUCAAGCUCGGCUUGGUGUUGG
This 158-nucleotide ribosomal RNA is filed under the name Pyricularia oryzae. RNAcentral's name for it is "5.8S ribosomal RNA". The stretch from base 5 to 128 matches the Rfam family "5.8S ribosomal RNA", at positions 28 to 154 of the family's 154-position model. Rfam says of the family: 5.8S ribosomal RNA (5.8S rRNA) is a component of the large subunit of the eukaryotic ribosome. It is transcribed by RNA polymerase I as part of the 45S precursor that also contains 18S and 28S rRNA. Lineage: Eukaryota; Fungi; Ascomycota; Sordariomycetes; Magnaporthales; Pyriculariaceae. The record is from RNAcentral.